GCACAGCUGUGUUGUUCCCCGUUAUCACGCACGGCGCCGCACGCCCGCCCGCAGCGGCGCACACAUGAGCGGGCAGCUUGAGGAAACGUCAGCAGGUUUCGGCUCGCUGCGUGACAUUGCGGUGCCCGUUUUUCUUUCAGCUAACGACUCAAGGAUGGACGCGUGACGCACCGAGCCACAGUGAGGGAGCGUGCACACACGUCAGCUCGGGGAGGGCAAAGCCUGCUUAAAAUGCAGCGAAUGUGACAGCCGAGCCCACAGUCCAGACUACAGCAGCGCCUGGACCGGAAAGGUGAAGCGGGGCGGGGGCGGGGGGCACCAGCAGCAUGACCGUGGUGCCCGGGGAGAACCUGGAUGAGACGGUGGCACUGGCCGCGCUGUCCGCCCAGGAUGUGUACGACCCGGAGCGAGCCGACAACCAGGAGUGCUGCGAGCGGGUGGUCAUCAACAUCUCCGGGCUGCGCUUCGAGACGCAGCUGAAGACCCUGGCCCAGUUCCCCGCCACUCUGCUGGGGGACCCGCGCAAAAGGAUGCGGUUCUUCGACCCGCUAAGGAACGAGUACUUCUUUGACCGGAACCGACCCAGCUUCGAUGCCAUCCUGUACUACUACCAGUCUGGCGGACGGCUCCGGAGACCCGUCAACGUGCCGGUGGACAUCUUCAUGGAGGAGAUCAAGUUCUACGAGCUGGGGGAGGAGGUGAUCGAGAACUUUAAGGAGGAUGAAGGGUUCAUCAAGGAGGAGGAGCGGCCGCUGCCGGAGAACGAGUUCCAGCGGCAGGUCUGGCUCCUGUUCGAGUACCCCGAGAGCUCCGGACCCGCUCGGGGCAUCGCCAUCGUCUCCGUGCUGGUCAUCCUCAUCUCCAUCGUCAUCUUCUGCUUGGAGACCUUACCCGAGUUCAGGGAGGAGGCCCGGAUCUUCGACGGGUUAAUCCCGACAAACGGCACCGCGGGCGCCGAGCCGCCGAACCCGUUCACGGACCCGUUCUUCAUCGUGGAGACGCUCUGUAUCAUCUGGUUCUCCUUCGAGCUGCUGGUCCGGUUCCUCGCCUGCCCCAGCAAGCCCGCCUUCUUCAAGAACAUCAUGAACACCAUUGACAUCGUGGCCAUCAUGCCCUACUUCAUCACGCUGGGGCUGGAGCUGGCGGAGCACCAGGGCAACGGCCAGCAGGCCAUGUCGCUGGCCAUACUAAGGGUCAUCCGCCUGGUCCGGGUCUUCCGGAUCUUCAAGCUCUCACGGCACUCCAAGGGGCUGCAGAUCCUGGGGAAGACGCUGCAGGCCAGCAUGCGGGAGCUGGGUCUGCUCAUCUUCUUCCUCUUCAUCGGGGUCAUCCUCUUCUCCAGCGCCGUGUACUUCGCGGAGACCGACGACCCGGAGUCGGGCUUCAGCAGCAUCCCGGACGCCUUCUGGUGGGCCGUGGUUUCCAUGACGACAGUGGGGUACGGCGACAUGUGUCCAGUGACCAUCGGUGGGAAGAUCGUGGGCUCCCUGUGCGCCAUCGCUGGGGUCCUGACCAUCGCGCUUCCGGUUCCGGUCAUCGUCUCCAACUUCAACUACUUCUACCACCGGGAGACCGAGCACGAGGAGCAGUUCCAGUACACGCACGUGACCUGCGGGCAGCAGCAAGCGCCGUUCGGAGAGUUCAAGCGGAGCGACAGCCGGCCGUCGCUGUCCAAGUCCGACUACCCGGACAGCGAGGACGCGGACUCCGUCAAGUACACGAACUGCAGCCCGCAGAAGGCGUAUGGCGGGAAGCUGACGGACGUCUGAGGCUCCUUGUUUCCGCCAUCAGAGGGAAUGUUUUCAGUUGGAUCCCCUCUCCACUCCCGACACGGUCUUCCAUCCAGCAGGACAACUGAUCAGCCUCUGUAGCACUUUACUGUCAUUAGUGAGCAGCUUUAAGGUUUACAUUCUUCUGACACGGGACCAAAUUAAAACUCAGUUUAAAACUUAAAAAAAAAAAAAAAAGCCUGCGAGACAACACGCAGGGUUAGGAGAAAGAAAAAAACAAAUACAAGAAAACCCUCAUUGACUUAAACACAACGAAUCUGGCGAGAAGCUUUUUCCAAUACAACAGCGCCAUCGUGUGGUCAAAGCGGCUCACUGCGCCGCCGUGCCAGAUGCAGUUUCCAUGGCAACCUUCCAGACUUUUCUGUUGUUGUCUGGUGCAGGAGCAAAAAGUGAGGAGGCUCCAAACCACCAUGUUGUGGAAGCAUCCAUGUUGUUAAAAAAAACCACACAAAAACUCAGACGCUCAGCAGCUAAUUACUAACGACAAGUAAAAAAAAAUAAUUAAAUACAAUAAAAAUAUUAAGAUUAUAGCUUACCGCAGCAAUUUAAUACAUUAACAGUUAAUUUUUAGAUGUUUUAGAGCUCAACCUCGUCUAUCGUGGAUAUAAAUAUGUUAAAAAAAAGAUAAUUUAAAGAAAAAUAUGUAGAGUAAAAAAAUCAAAAGAAAAAUAUCUAAUAUUAACAGAAAAUACAAAAUUAUAUAAACACUUUAUAGUUGUACAGUAGCACAAAAAAGGUUAAAAUAGAAACAUAAAUUAAAAUUAGAUAUUUUUUAGGGGAUUUUAAGAUAAAAUGCAAAUCAAGAACUGUUUAAACUAUUAAAUUUGAUCUAUUUAAAUGAGUUCAAGUCUGAAAAGCUAUCAAGCUUUUCAACAAAUUAUUGCACUGAUAAAUAUUUUUGGUUCUAAAAUAAUUAUGAAUAAUAAUUCAAUCUUAAUGCACAAAAAAUCAAAAAUGUAUGAAGAAAUUGGGAAAGAAAACAUCAUAGGAUUUUUCUUUAAGUGAGUUUAGAAAUAAUUUAAAAAAUCCCAAAUCAAAUAGUUUUGAAAAACAAAUUUUAAGUAUUUAAAAUAAAAAGAUCAGUCCCUUGCUUUCAUAGAGAUCCCCAGCGGUUCUGAUCCGUACCUGAUCCGAACUGAAGGCCCUUCAGUGUUGGAGCUCCCUGGUCCAGCAGCACCUGGAGUCACCUGGACAGCGGGCGGAGCAGACGGAGCUGCUGGAGACAAAAACAGAGGAUUUUUAACAAGUUGACGGAGUAAAAACCUUCACUGGAGUUUAUCAGACUGAUGGAUGUUUGAAGGAAAAGUCCGACGGCUCUUCAGCUCAGACCAACAUCCAGUUCUGGUCCCACAAGGGAAAGAUUGACGAACCUCACUAACCCACUCCAGCUGCCACCAUCCUCCUCAUCCUCUCCUGCUUCCCUCCUCCGAUGAAGAAAAAAACAACAAAGCUUGGAUAAAAUACAAAAACAAAACUUCACGAGAAACUCGGCUUACUCUCGGAUUUUUACAGAGCACAGACUCUGAGGUACGACUCAAACGUUACUUGAACCAUCAGCUGUGUCCUGCGUAUACUUAGAUGUUGUUUGGGAGGUUUCUCCUGUUGCUGUAGAGAACAAGAACUUGUUGUUGCUGUCUGUAUGUCGCAUAUCAUAUCCAAACCAAAUCACUGCAUGCUUGGAAAGUAGAGCAUGUAAACAGAAGAAACGUGGAACAACACCGACAGCUCGCAGAUACGGAGACGUUAUCCCGUCAGGCAGAUGACUUUAGUUUUUUAAAGUAUCAUACUAUAUAUGUUUUAUACCGGGAGGUUGACAUGGUGAAUUAUUUUGUAGAUUUUUAAGUUUUUUUUGUUUUUUUUGCCUUGGUGAAAACAAUGCAGCUCCAGCAGGCAGCUCUGAUGAACAUGUCUGCACCAGUGGGAGGAAAAAUGGGGGUAAAAGUGUGAAAAUGCAUUAAAUCCAGACAUUCAUCUAUAUCUGAAUGUUCCUGUUUGGAUCUUUGAUCAGAAUGCUGUAUACCUGAUUUAUCACUACCUCAGUGUCAACUCACUGAAAAAAUAAGCUUUAGCACCUGAAGGACUGAUUAUUAUCACCAAUACCGCUCAAGUUAUCUGAAAUGUUCUCAAUUUAAUCUCUAAAAUAUACAAAGAACUAAACUAUAAAGAUGUUUUCAUCUUGAUAUCAGGUAGAAAUGAACAUUUAGAGAAACUAAAUGAGUCUCAGAUGUCCAGCCUGAGUGAGAAAAGCAGCUUUUUUGCACAUUGUUUAUUUGUUUUUGCAUUUUCUGUUAGCUUAAAAGGCAAUAAGGUCCUGCAGAGUGGCUCUGCCUGUCUUGAACAUUUAACAAGAAAUCAGUCCAGCACAAAUUUGAAUUUUAAAUAUAUUUGAAAUUUGGGAAGACAAAUAAACUGGGAAACUGUAACACUUUUUAAUAUUGCUCAAAUUUCUCUCAAAUUAUCUAAAAGAUGCACAUUUAUUUGGAGCAGGAUGAGCUGCAGGUGGAAACAAACUCCCAAGAUGGUCGUGUUUUUCUUUGUGGGUCAUUUUAGUUUCUUAACUUUUAUUUCACAAUAUUUGAGAUUUAAAAAUCUAAGAACAAAACGAUUGACAGAUUUAUGUGUCAGUCAUAAAUGUUAACUACUUUCGGUUUCCCUCUGGAACGAAGCUGAAAAUAAAUAAAAACUAGUUUGAGAAACUUUGGAUCUAAAACGCUGGGAGAAUUUUAAGCUUUUGUUAAUUAAAUUACUGUUUCUCAGCAGAAUACUGAAAAUCAGAUUACCAGUCGCUGCUAACCCCUCACAGUGAUGCCAACAUUUUGUUUUGGGUAAAAAUCCCAUCCAGAAACUGCUGACACUCAAGAAUCACAGUUACUAAAUUUUGACGUUGCUGAUAUAUAUCAGUGUAUCAUCAGCAUAAAAGAUGUUUUGGUUUUACAAAAUAAACAUUAAGGGUUCCUAUUUUAAAGAGCUUGGGAUAUUGCAACACAUGAGGAGUUGCUAUGGUAACCUUAACACAGAAUGUCGUCCAUACUUUGACAUCACAGAUAGGAUACACCAUGGGGGGUCCUUGCAGAUUGUUGGAAAUUUAGUAGGAUUUAUUAAGAAACAUUUUCAGAGUUUAAAUUUAUUCUCAUAUUGGUAACCUAUUUCUGAAGUUGAAAUAGGGCGGGCCAUGAUGGCCUCACGCCUCGGCCGUGACCCAAUCAUGGCCGUAGCUCAGCAUGGCAUGUUCUGGCAUGUAGCUGCAUUUUGACACAGUUUAGGACAGUUGCGUUAGCUUGUGGUGCCAACAUGAGCAUAUGUGGUAAAAUCAAUGUGGAACAAUGCAGCUGAUGGUUAGCCGAAGAUCUUGGUAGAACAUGAGUGGUUCUGAUCAUCGUCUUGGUGAGGUCACACUUUGGGGAUGCAGUGUGAAGCAUUACCUUCGUUGGGGUGUUUUAAGCAUCUACAAACUUUCUCUGCAAGGCUGUGAUGGCUUAUUGUUGUGAUGUCAGUGUAUCUUUGAAGUUCAAGCAUGGCUUGGCUAUUGUCACAUGAAACAGAACUGGCCACGAUGGCUUCAUGCUAGGCUACAACCAAAAUUACGGCGAUGUAACGGUGGUGGAGAAGUUUGAAUGGGAAUUUGAGAAAGUUGUGCAAAGUUACAGCCCAGAAUGUGUAGCAAUCAUCAAGGUUUCCCCCAGAAAACCUGGUAAGCCCGGUUGUUGUGGUCAUAGUCAUAGUCAGGUUAGGAUAGGUUAUGGCUGACAGGAUAAUGAAGACCAUAUUAAUAUCUUCUUCCAGAGCAAAUUAGCCCUAAAGGAAGUGAACCAGCAUCUUCAUUGACCAAACACGUUUAGACACUGAUUAAUGUCAAAGUUUGGUUGAAAAGUUAUUGGGAUUUUCCAGACUUUCUAAAUUUGAGUUGAAGAAACAAUAAUUAUACAACCAUAAAAGUUGCCCAAAGACAGCAGCUUCCCUCCAGAGAAUCAAACAUCGUACAGAAAAAUUUUAAACUUUAUCGUAUCUUUUUCUGUCAAAAAUAAGAGCAAUUGUCACGCAAAGUUUCAAAACCGUGCAGAAAUGUUAUCACAAAGUUUUAAUGGUAAAUGUUGAUUUAUAUUAGCAUCUUGUCUUUAGUUCUGGAUGUAGGAAGAGCGCCACCUGCAGCUCAUCAGCUCAACUUUUCAAACUGCUAAAACCAAACAAUUCAGGAGUUUCUUAUAUAUACAGUUGUGGAAAAAAAUUAAGAAAUCACUUAAAAUGAUUUUUAGGUCUGAUGUUACUCUUUAUAGGUAUAUAUUUGAGUAAAAUUAACAUUGCUCUUUUAUUCUGUGAACUACUGACAACAUGUCUCCAAAACUCAAAGCAAAAGUUUUACUUGCAAAAAAUGAGAAAUAGUAAAAAUAAUGAAAAUGAUGCAGUGCUUUCAGACCACAAAUACUGCAAAGAAAACCAGUUCAUAUUCAUUUAGAGACAAUACUGAUGUUUUUACUCAGGAAGAGUUCAGAAAUCAGUAUUUGGUUGAAUAACCAGCAGGUUUUCAAAGGGGUUCAGUGCAGCGUCUUAAUUUUUCCAGAGCUGGAUAUUUGCUGAACGUUUUGGAUUCAUUUGGACUGAAAGGCAGGUGCUGUGGGUUGAGACAGCAGAAAGAAUCCAAGCUCUCGCUCUCUUGUUGAAGGUUUGCUGUGUAAACAGCCCUGCGUCUCUGCAGCCCACAUAAACACAGAAGUUCAUCCACUCUGCAGCGUUCGUCCGGCAGUCACUGCUUUUCUGAUGCAUAAAAACAGCCGAGGGAGAUUUCAUUUGGACUGAAGCUUUGAUGAGCUCUGACUGAUGAUUAACGUGUUCUGCAUACUGUAAGUGCAAUAAAAAUGUGACGUUCCCCCUGCGCGUGCGGCGGCGUACUGAUUAUGGCAGACAGCCGUGGCUGUGGUCAGACUGUUCAUCCUGUAAAACAGCUGCUGUUUGGUUUUUCAGCUGAAAACUUCAGGUUCAUCACCGAGUCAUUCUCAUCCUCCAACAGGAAGAAGCAAUAGAUUCCUGCAAUGUGGGAACUUUGAAGCGGAGGGAUGCGUUUGUAACGCUUCCUUCGUAGUAACACGUUUGCAAAGAAACGUUACUAUGAUUUCUUCAGUUUUUUUUUAUUCCAUUUGUUGAUGUUUAUUUUUGUGAUCUAUGUUUGAUAAAAAUAAAUCCUUAAUUCUGAUAAAUCUCCAUGUGUUUCACAGGACAACACAUGAAUUUUUUGUUUUUUGUGUGCAUUUUCAUUUGGCGUUGAUGUGUUAAUUUAAAAUGGUUUGAAUCUCAGAUUCAUUCGUUCUGCGGUUAGAAGAGUUUCACAUUUGGCUGGAAACAAGGCAGAGUAACAGAAAGUAAUUUAUUCCCUUCAAAGGGGAAACUUCUUUUCACCAACUAUUAAAAACUUUGAAAUUAUGAAAGAAAAUUUAACUGAACCAACACAAGAGAUUGAGUUAUAUAAUGCAAUAAAUCAGCUUUUUCUUUAAUUACAUAGACUUUUUAUAGGGACUAAAUGGAGAAAAUGGUCACAUUUUGCCUUUAAGUGAUUUAGUUUUUAAAUUACCUGCUCAAAACUACUUACAAGUAGUUUUGCAAAUAGGAAAAGAUCAAUAAAAACCAACCAGGUUCUAUGUGGAAAAGAAUCUGCCCUCUAAACCAAUUACCAUAAACUACCACCAAGAAUUUGUGACUUUUACAUUUAAGAAGAGGAAUCCUGGUUUUAAUUCGGCCGCAAUGCAACAGGCAGGAGUUUAUUUAAUACCCAAAAAGUUUUUAAACUUUUUAGGUCCACCAAACUUUUCAACCACAUUGAAUUUGACAUCUGUUUCCCAGGUUAACUUUUUAAAAAAAAUCAUUGUCCAGUAAGGCAAUGUUGAUUAGUAAAUCAUUUAAUUAACAAUCUAGUAAACAUAAAAAUCUUAUUCUGAAGCAGAAUUGAAAUUGGAAAUGUUUUUAAAGUGCUUCAAUGAGCUGAAAUUGAAACUUAAAAACAUUACAAAAUAGGAUAAAUGGAUGAAAUAGAUAAAAAUUUAAUUAGAAGAAGAAAUAUUUUAUGGGUUAAGUAUCUCAAAUUUAACAUUUCAUUUAAGAAUAAAUAUUUAAUUUCAGCACUGGUAAUGAUUU
RNA transcript from Gambusia affinis (western mosquitofish), 7913 nucleotides. It is a transcript of the gene named shaker-related potassium channel tsha2-like, with no coding region annotated. NCBI's taxonomy places the organism in Eukaryota, Metazoa, Chordata, Actinopteri, Cyprinodontiformes, Poeciliidae. The record is from RefSeq and is a predicted model, not a curated record. The transcript is spliced from 3 exons.